Molecule: ribosomal RNA, 271 nt
Filed under: uncultured prokaryote
Description: partial 16S ribosomal RNA
Rfam family: Bacterial small subunit ribosomal RNA
Source: RNAcentral
UACGGAGGAUGCAAGCGUUAUCCGGAUUUAUUGGGUUUAAAGGGUGCGCAGGCGGGAGAUUAAGUCGGCGGUGAAAUUUUGCAGCUCAACUGUAAAAGUGCCUUCGAAACUGGUUUCCUUGAGUGUAGAUGAAGUAGGCGGAAUUUGUGGUGUAGCGGUGAAAUGCAUAGAUAUCACGAGGAACUCCGAUUGCGCAGGCAGCUUACUAAACUACUACUGACGCUCAGGCACGAAGGCGUGGGGAUCAAACAGGAUUAGAUACCCCGGUAGU